UGAAAUGGGAGGCUUGGUUUAAUCGGC
Molecule: non-coding RNA, 27 nt
Filed under: Homo sapiens (human)
Lineage: Eukaryota; Metazoa; Chordata; Mammalia; Primates; Hominidae
Source: RNAcentral